AUAGGGGCACCCUGUCACCGCGCACUGGGUGGCUUUGAAUUGAAUUUCAUGUCCCACUUACCCGCUUACAUUUGCAGUACCAACUAUGGCCACUGGGGGCGUGUACCAUUAACCAGUGUUGUUAUACCCACGACUGUAGCCUUUUUGUGCUCCAUUGCCCAGCAGAACGGCUGGUCAGCGGACAUCGCAUUAAUGCCGGCGUGCCCACGUGGUUUCUGGGCUGCUUUAUUAUUUAACAUCUAGUCCUACCGGCCCCCCCUCUGCCCGAAACUGGUACUUUUUAAACAAUACCCCUCUAAGCCGCAACUGGCUAAAAUCAGCUGCUCUUUCGUGUUGCCUUUGGGGUAGAAUGUAGGGUUUUUUGUUGUUUUUUUUUUGCUUUUUUUUUUUUUUUUUUUUUACAAAAAAAAAGCAGAAACAAAUCAAUUUAAAAUCUUUUUGAUUGUCUCAGAAUUGUGCAGACCCCAAUCUGAGAAAUGCUAAGAUUUUACAGAGAAAAGGAUUUUUGUAACCCUUUGUUGGCUCUCUUUUUUGAACGUUAAAGGAAUGUCACACACUCCAAUAGCUACAAAACUAUUUUUAUACACAUAUUUUUGUAACAGAAGUGUGUUUUUAUUUCCUAAGAGCUUUUUUUCUUCUUUCUUCUAGUGUAACGGCUACUAAAGUGUACAUAACCACUUCUUGCUUCGGUCUCGAAGGCUUCCUUAACCCCUUAAGUGCCAGGAGAUGGAUCAUAGCUCUGCGUACACUCGCAUGGUGCUUAAUGGGUUAAGUAAAACAUAUUAACUGUUCGAGAGGCUCUCUGGUGCAUCACUUAGCCUUCUGCCUCUGAAAAAACAGGAAAAAAAGAAAAAUGCCACCAAUUUUUUCCCACUGUUCAUCAAGUGGUUAUACAGGUACCAUAAUACACCUGUGUUAAAGGGACGACGUCCACGAUAUAAGAGUGAUUGCUUUAACCCCCCGAGGAGGGGCAGACGUGUGUUUUUUUUCCGAAAACUUAAGGGAGCAGCUUGCCUCUGGGUCUUGAAGGGUUAAAGAACGACAAAGAACAGCCAGACGCUUUCACGUUUUCUUCCGGAGAAUACCGAUUUAGGGGUUUAUAGCACCCAGCGAAAGGCGUCGGGGCAGACGGCUCCGCGGAACGCGUCGGCCUGACGUUUAUGCCACACGUCUGGAAGCGAACAUCUGGGUAUAAAACCACAGACUGUAAAUAAAACAGGGAAAUAAAUCCCGUGUCUCUAUC
Spea bombifrons (plains spadefoot toad) is the source of this 1243-nucleotide long non-coding RNA. RefSeq lists it as uncharacterized. NCBI's taxonomy places the organism in Eukaryota, Metazoa, Chordata, Amphibia, Anura, Pelobatidae. The transcript has 2 exons. The record is from RefSeq and is a predicted model, not a curated record.